RNAcentral lists this transfer RNA (74 nucleotides) under Ignavibacteriaceae bacterium. Its description in RNAcentral is "tRNA-Asp". It matches the Rfam family "tRNA". From Rfam's summary of the family: Transfer RNA (tRNA) molecules are approximately 80 nucleotides in length. Lineage: Bacteria; Pseudomonadati; Ignavibacteriota; Ignavibacteria; Ignavibacteriales; Ignavibacteriaceae. The record is from RNAcentral.
GGGGUCAUAGCUCAGUUGGUUAGAGCGCCUGCCUGUCACGCAGGAGGUCGCGAGUUCGAGCCUCGUUGACCCCG